CAGAAACUUUGUAAAUUCUGAAGAAUCAUCUCGCUCGUUUUUCAUAAACACAAUGAGUGUGGGUGUUAAUUUUACCAACUACACAAAAACAAAAUGGUAUCACAUGACGCGUGCAAAUUCUGAUUAUUAUUCUGAUUCUGAUUCAUGGGAAGAUGAAACCCGGUGUUACAGAGAUACAGAUAAUACACUUGAUCUACCAGUCACAGACUGUGAAUCUUCAAAGAACUGUCUUCUUUGUUGUUCCUUACUUGGAAAGAAAAUGGCUAUAACAUUCUUUGAAGAAGAAAUAGACGAUACCAAUUCAACUUGUUCCUGUUUUGAUGUUCUACCGGAAGUAGUUGCUGAUCAAUAUGCGGAUGACAAAACAUCAUGUUACAC
Molecule: long non-coding RNA, 378 nt
Organism: Patella vulgata (common limpet)
Lineage: Eukaryota; Metazoa; Mollusca; Gastropoda; Patellidae
Exons: 3
Source: RefSeq, a predicted model, not a curated record